CGCGCAGGCGGUUUCUUAAGUCUGUCUUAAAAGUGCGGGGCUUAACCCCGUGAGGGGACGGAAACUGGGAGACUUGAGUAUCGGAGAGGAAAGCAGAAUUCCUAGUGUAGCGGUGAAAUGCGUAGAUAUUAGGAGGAAUACCAGUGGCGAAAGCGGCUUUCUGGACGACAACUGACGCUGAGGCGCGAAAGCGUGGGUAGCAAACA
This 206-nucleotide ribosomal RNA is filed under the name uncultured bacterium. RNAcentral's name for it is "partial 16S ribosomal RNA". It matches the Rfam family "Bacterial small subunit ribosomal RNA", at positions 568 to 774 of the family's 1533-position model. The record is from RNAcentral.